CGGAGGAAAAGAAACCAACAGGGAUUGCCCCAGUAACGGCGAGUGAAGCGGCAAAAGCUCAAAUUUGAAAUCCUGCGGGAAUUGUAAUUUGAAGGUUUCGUGGUCUGAGUCGGCCGCGCCCAAGUCCAUUGGAACAUGGCGCCUGGGAGGGUGAGAGCCCCGUAUGGCGCACGCCGACUCUUUGCACCGCGGCUCCGACGAGUCGAGUUGUUUGGGAAUGCAGCUCUAAGUGGGUGGUAAAUUCCAUCUAAAGCUAAAUAUUGGCGAGAGACCGAUAGCGAACAAGUACAGUGAUGGAAAGAUGAAAAGCACUUUGAAAAGAGAGUGAAACAGCACGUGAAAUUGUUGAAAGGGAAGGGCUUGCAAGCAGACACGGUUUUACCGGGCCAGCGUCGAAAAGGGGGGAGGAACAAGAACUCGAGAAUGUGGCGCGCACCUUCGGGCGCGCGUGUUAUAGCUCGUGUUGACGCCUCCAUCCCUUUUCGAGGCCUGCGAUUCUAGGACGCUGGCGUAAUGGUUGCAAGCCGCCCGUCUUG
This 536-nucleotide ribosomal RNA is filed under the name Clavispora sp. RNAcentral's name for it is "partial large subunit ribosomal RNA". It matches the Rfam family "Eukaryotic large subunit ribosomal RNA", at positions 51 to 656 of the family's 3401-position model. Lineage: Eukaryota; Fungi; Ascomycota; Pichiomycetes; Serinales; Metschnikowiaceae. The record is from RNAcentral.